GGAGAAUUGCUUGAACCUGGGAGAUGGAGGUUGCAGUGAGCUGAGGUCACGCCACUGCACUCCAGCCUGGGCAACAGAG
RNAcentral lists this microRNA precursor (79 nucleotides) under Aotus nancymaae (Ma's night monkey). RNAcentral describes it as "miRNA (ENSANAG00000009347.1)". The record is from RNAcentral. Lineage: Eukaryota; Metazoa; Chordata; Mammalia; Primates; Aotidae.